UAAUCUGCGAUAAGCGCCGGUAAGGUGAUAUGAACCGUUAUAACCGGCGAUACCCGAAUGGGGAAACCCAGUGUGACUCGUCACACUAUCAUUAACUGAAUCCAUAGGUUAAUGAGGCGAACCGGGGGAACUGAAACAUCUAAGUACCCCGAGGAAAAGAAAUCAACCGAGAUUCCCCCAGUAGCGGCGAGCGAACGGGGAGGAGCCCAGAGCCUGAAUCAGCAUGUGUGUUAGUGGAAGCGUCUGGAAAGGCGCGCGAUACAGGGUGACAGCCCCGUACACAAAAGCGCAUGUGCUGUGAGCUCGAUGAGUAGGGCGGGACACGUGGUAUCCUGUCUGAAUAUGGGGGGACCAUCCUCCAAGGCUAAAUACUCCUGACUGACCGAUAGUGAACCAGUACCGUGAGGGAAAGGCGAAAAGAACCCCGGCGAGGGGAGUGAAAAAGAACCUGAAACCGUGUACGUACAAGCAGUGGGAGCACCCUUUGGGUGUGACUGCGUACCUUUUGUAUAAUGGGUCAGCGACUUAUAUUCUGUAGCAAGGUUAACCGAAUAGGGGAGCCGGAGGGAAACCGAGUCUUAACCGGGCGUUAAGUUGCAGGGUAUAGACCCGAAACCCGGUGAUCUAGCCAUGGGCAGGUUGAAGGUUGGGUAACACUAACUGGAGGACCGAACCGACUAAUGUUGAAAAAUUAGCGGAUGACCUGUGGCUGGGGGUGAAAGGCCAAUCAAACCGGGAGAUAGCUGGUUCUCCCCGAAAGCUAUUUAGGUAGCGCCUCGUGAAUUCAUCUCCGGGGGUAGAGCACUGUUUCGGCUAGGGGGCCAUCCCGGCUUACCAACCCGAUGCAAACUGCGAAUACCGGAGAAUGUUAUCACGGGAGACACACGGCGGGUGCUAACGUCCGUCGUGAAGAGGGAAACAACCCAGACCGCCAGCUAAGGUCCCAAAGUCAUGGUUAAGUGGGAAACGAUGUGGGAAGGCCCAGACAGCCAGGAUGUUGGCUUAGAAGCAGCCAUCAUUUAAAGAAAGCGUAAUAGCUCACUGGUCGAGUCGGCCUGCGCGGAAGAUGUAACGGGGCUAAACCAUG
Molecule: ribosomal RNA, 1087 nt
Filed under: Salmonella enterica subsp. enterica serovar Enteritidis
Lineage: Bacteria; Pseudomonadati; Pseudomonadota; Gammaproteobacteria; Enterobacterales; Enterobacteriaceae
Description: partial 23S ribosomal RNA
Rfam family: Bacterial large subunit ribosomal RNA
Source: RNAcentral